Molecule: long non-coding RNA, 2399 nt
Organism: Cephus cinctus (wheat stem sawfly)
Lineage: Eukaryota; Metazoa; Arthropoda; Insecta; Hymenoptera; Cephidae
Exons: 3
Source: RefSeq, a predicted model, not a curated record
UGAAUUAUACGGCAAGUGGCCAUAUAUGGGCUGUACGCCGCGCACCGAGAAGACACCACACGAAAAGCCGAGUCCCUUUUAUUACACGCUCGACACUGCACGUAUGUAAGGCGCCUUCUCCUUUAAUACCAAGAAGUGCAUAAGUGCAUCGCUGCACGCAAAACUUAGGUAUUUUCUUGAGCGAGUGUCCACAGGCUUGAGAGCACGAUGCACUGGAUGCGUAAGGUAUAUACUUAUUAGCCAUCCAUUACGCAAGCGGGACGCCAUUUUACACUGAUUAACAUAGUAAUUACAAUUUAAUUAAACGAUUCGUGUCGGGUCGAGAUAUACCGAUGAAAUCAAGACGUCAAAUCAGUUCGACUACCCGCGCGAAUUGGAUGCACGCAGUUUUUCGGCCAGUGUCGCCCCAGGCGGACUUUUCAGGAACUAAAUAACAUGGCGCGACAAUCUCGCCGCGAGACAUUCUACGUUUCUCGGUAGUGGCCAAACACCGUACCCCGGAGAUGGCUCUGAUGGUCGAUGACGAUGGCUAAAGGCGGUGAUGGUUUAAAGUAGUGGCUCUUUUAUUCUGAAACAGCCGCGAUCCAACGUUUCUUAAACACCCUGUACCCUUGUUCCAGCACUCGGACUUGCAAACAGUAUAGGGAACCCGCUCGGGCGGACUGCUUAUAUGCGAGGCUGGCGCCGCACUGUCGCAUCCUAUAUACAGCAUCUCUGGCUCACACUGUUGAUUCCUAUACUCCGUACACAGUUGGCUGCACUCGGUGGUAUGAAUUCCACGUAUAGAUACGUGGACCAGUACGUAUCCUCAGGUAUGCAUACAUAUAUAUACUCGUAUUACGUAUACAUGAUGACUGGCGGUUCCGCCACGUACGGCGGGAAGCUUCGAGAGCGGGAAACCAGCACGUAGGAAGUGCAUACACGCGGAUGUUGGUACGCGAGUGGAGGUGAGCGAUAUAGAAAAUUGCAGGAGAGAAAGAGAGAGAGGUUAUGAUUAUUAAAGGGAGAGGCAGCGAGUAGGACGGUGAGAUGGAACACGGGCAGCCAGUGUACGAUAUAUAUAUAUAUAUACAGCUUACUGCACUGGCUUCAGCAUUCUCAUGCCUCUGUGUAUCGCAAACCGGCGGUUGCUGCUGCAUUAAUUAAACGCAGAUGCCGAUGCCUUGUCACCCGCCAUUUGCCAUUCGCGUUUGUGUUGCCCGGCCAGGGCGGCACCUAAUUCAUCCUCACUCGGCCGAAGCUCUGAUCCACGUUCAGGACAGGGACCACUACUGUUAUAAUUCUGUCUCUCUUAUUGCAGUGAACUACGUCACCACGCACCCGCGCCAAUUGGUACCAGCUUUCGUGUCUACGUCGCGAAACUGGUUAUGCGCUACGUGGGUUAACUGGCUGGGACAGGUGGCUGGAACGUUGUAGGACGAGAGGAUUGAUGCCGCUGCCAAUCGUAGCAGGACGGAAGAGAAUAAUGCAUGAGGACAGGGCGGAGAUAUAUUGGAAAGUUACAUCGAAUUGGAUGAUUACGAUAAAUGGGACACGUGGAGAAGCGUUUUAUGAUAUUUGUAUGAUGGCCAACACGUGGGAGAAUGUUUGAUGGAAUUUGUAUGAAGGGAUGAGAAGAAAAAAAGAUAAAGCACAGCAAGUCGCAGUAUAAUUUUCAAAUGCGUCCCGGAUUCGGGAUACGUAAUAGGAGAGAGAGGAAUCUUGCGAGGAUUGGUGUUGUUUCUCGAAAAAACAACGCACUGGGCACCGACGGCGUCGGUGGCGGCGGCGGCCAACGAGGGAACGAGCAAGCUAAGCAAAAUAAAGAAAUGGAGAAAAAGGAGAAUAAAAGGUGGGAAGAGGCUAGCGCGGCGCCUGGCUGGAAUGGUUCUACGGGUCUUGGCACUCCGAUUGUGCGACUCUGUAGCAUCCCUGGAGCGGCGCAGAGUAGACUGAAUGUGUGGGUCGGAUGCUGCAUGGACCCGAAACAGCGUAGAGCAUUGUUCGGCUCGCCUAUAAAACAAGCAGUGAACUGACUCGUCGAAUCCGGGCUACGGGGUAACAAGCUGGCAUCGAAUUGCUUCCCUAUACCCACCAUUACCAUGCUGGCUAUUCGAUGGUGGUCAUGAUGUUGGAUUGGGAUAUCCUAGAAUUAUAGAAAUCAACAAUGGAUGGCAUUCAUUUAUUUUAUUCAUUUUGUGAAAAAAAUAUUUCAACUCGGGAUUUAGCUGUUAAAGAAAAAUUGAAAAAAUAAUCCAUCGAAAUCAAUCAACGUUUUGAUGUAAAAAAAUGACUCCCGGAUGACACGUAUCUCUAUGAAGGUGUCGACUCCCGGACAGACACGUAAUGACGAAACGGUAUAAUGGACGCGGCAUUCCUGAAAGGGGGGGCGUCCUCGAACGAUAAAAAGAAGAUGAGCA